Molecule: ribosomal RNA, 834 nt
Filed under: uncultured bacterium
Lineage: Bacteria
Description: bacterial SSU rRNA
Rfam family: Bacterial small subunit ribosomal RNA
Source: RNAcentral
CCCUUAGAGUUUGAUCCUGGCUCAGAAUGAACGUUGGCGGCGUGGAUCAGGCAUGCAAGUCGAACGAAUCCCGGUUGGGUAACUGACCGGGGGAAGUGGCGAAAGGGGCAGUAAGGCGUGGGUAACCUGCCCCGGACUCCGGGAUAGCCUCCCUAACGGGUGGGUAAUACCGGAUGCCGUAGCGCGGGGGCAUCCUCGUGCUACGAAAGCUUCGGCGGUCCGGGAGGGGCUCACGUGGUAUUAGCUAGUUGGUGCGGUGACGGCGCACCAAGGCCGAGAUGCCUAGCAGGUGUGAGAGCACGACCUGCGCCACUGGCACUGGGACACUGGCCAGACUCCUACGGGAGGCUGCAGUCGAGGAUCUUCGGCAAUGGGCGAAAGCCUGACCGAGCGACGCCGCGUGUGCGAUGAAGGCCUUCGGGUUGUAAAGCACUGUCGUGGGGGAGAAAAGCCGCAAGGCUUGAUCGACCCCAGGAGGAAGCUCGGGCUAAGUUCGUGCCAGCAGCCGCGGUAAGACGAACCGAGCGAACGUUAUUCGGAAUCACUGGGCUUAAAGGGCGCGUAGGCGGGCCGGCAAGUCAGGGGUGAAAGCCCCCAGCUCAACUGGGGAAGUGCCUCUGAUACUGCCGGCCUCGAGGGAGGUAGGGGCGUGCGGAACUUCCGGUGGAGCGGUGAAAUGCGUAGAUAUCGGAAGGAACGUCGGUGGCGAAAGCGGCGCGCUGGACCUCUUCUGACGCUGAGGCGCGAAAGCCAGGGGAGCGAACGGGAUUAGAUACCCCGGUAGUCCUGGCCCUAAACGUUGGGCACUAGCCGUGGGCUUACGUGGGCUCACAG